Molecule: ribosomal RNA, 253 nt
Filed under: uncultured bacterium
Lineage: Bacteria
Description: partial 16S ribosomal RNA
Rfam family: Bacterial small subunit ribosomal RNA
Source: RNAcentral
UACGUAGGGUGCGAGCGUUAAUCGGAAUUACUGGGCGUAAAGUGUGCGCAGGCGGCUCUGCAAGUCGCGUGUGAAAUCCCCGAGCUUAACUUGGGAAUUGCGCUCGAAACUAUGGAGCUGGAGUGUGGCAGAGGAAGGUGGAAUUCCACGUGUAGCGGUGAAAUGCGUAGAGAUGUGGAGGAACACCAAUGGCGAAGGCAGCCUUCUGGGCCAACACUGACGCUCAUGCACGAAAGCGUGGGGAGCAAACAGG